RNAcentral lists this ribosomal RNA (439 nucleotides) under uncultured bacterium. RNAcentral describes it as "partial 16S ribosomal RNA". It matches the Rfam family "Bacterial small subunit ribosomal RNA", at positions 339 to 795 of the family's 1533-position model. The record is from RNAcentral.
CUACGGGCGGCUCCAGUGAGGAAUAUUGCGCAAUGGGGGGAACCCUGAUGCAGCAACGCCGCGUGGAGGAUGACGCAUUUCGGUGUGUAAACUCCUUUUAUAUGUCAAGAAAAUGACGGUAGCAUAUGAAUAAGCACCGGCUAACUCCGUGCCAGCAGCCGCGGUAAUACGGAGGGUGCAAGCGUUACUCGGAAUCACUGGGCGUAAAGGACGCGUAGGCGGGUUGGAAAGUCAGGUGUGAAAUCCUACAGCUUAACUGUAGAACUGCACUUGAAACUUCUAAUCUAGAGUAUGGGAGGGGGAGAUGGAAUUAGUGGUGUAGGGGUAAAAUCCGUAGAUAUCACUAGGAAUACCUAAAGCGAAGGCGAUCUCCUGGAACAUUACUGACGCUAAGGCGUGAAAGCGUGGGGAGCAAACAGGAUUAGAUACCCUUGUAGUC